CGGAGCAACGCCGCGUGAACGAUGAAGGCCUUCGGGUCGUAAAGUUCUGUUGUUAGGGAAGAACAAGUACCAGAGUAACUGCUGGUACCUUGACGGUACCUAACCAGAAAGCCACGGCUAACUACGUGCCAGCAGCCGCGGUAAUACGUAGGUGGCAAGCGUUGUCCGGAAUUAUUGGGCGUAAAGCGCGCGCAGGUGGUUUCUUAAGUCUGAUGUGAAAGCCCACGGCUCAACCGUGGAGGGUCAUUGGAAACUGGGGAACUUGAGUGCAGAAGAGGAAAGUGGAAUUCCAAGUGUAGCGGUGAAAUGCGUAGAGAUUUGGAGGAACACCAGUGGCGAAGGCGACUUUCUGGUCUGUAACUGACACUGAGGCGCGAAAGCGUGGGGAGCGAACAGGAUUAGAUACCCUGGUAGUCCACGCCGUAAACGAUGAGUGCUAAGUGUUAGAGGGUUUCCGCCCUUUAGUGCUGCAGCUAACGCAUUAAGCACUCCGCCUGGGGAGUACGGUCGCAAGACUG
Molecule: ribosomal RNA, 518 nt
Filed under: uncultured Bacillota bacterium
Lineage: Bacteria; Bacillati; Bacillota
Description: bacterial SSU rRNA
Rfam family: Bacterial small subunit ribosomal RNA
Source: RNAcentral